UGAGCAACCUGCCCUUGACUCUGGAAUAACAGUUGGAAACAGCUGCUAAUACCGGAUAUGACCUCUGACGACAUCGUCUGGAGGUGGAAAGCUCUGGCGGUCAAGGAUGGGCUCGCGGCCUAUCAGCUUGUUGGUGAGGUAACGGCUCACCAAGGCUUCGACGGGUAGCCGGCCCGAGAGGGCGACCGGCCACACUGGGACUGAGACACGGCCCAAACUCCGUACGGGAGCAG
RNAcentral lists this ribosomal RNA (233 nucleotides) under uncultured bacterium. Its description in RNAcentral is "partial 16S ribosomal RNA". It matches the Rfam family "Bacterial small subunit ribosomal RNA", at positions 118 to 347 of the family's 1533-position model. The record is from RNAcentral.